CCUUUCUACGGAGAAUACAGGAUGCUGUCUGGCAUCCGGUGUGUGCCCCACGGCCGUGAUAGUCGCGGUCUGGUUGGGGUUGCUGGUGUGGAAGAGAUCUUGGCUGUGGGCGUGCGGGGUUUCCCGUGCGGGCGGGCUUGUCCCGUGUGGUUGGUGGUAUGGCAUGCUUUUGGGUUCCCGGAUCGCCACCCUCCGAGCCGUCUGGCUUCGGGGUGCGGGUCCGAUUCCGCCGGGUUUCCGUGUUGGUCCUUGUGUGGGCUGGUGUGGUGCCUGGUGUGUGUUGGUGGUUUGAGAACUGGAUAGUGGACGCGAGCAAGAGAACGAAUUUGUUUUUCUUGUUUUGUUGAUUUCGAUCGAACUCCGAGGCUUUGUCUUCGGGUGUUCGUUCGGUCGUUUUUGUUGUGACCGUCAACGUGUUGUGUUGAUGUGUCGUCCGAUGUAUUCGCGAAUUUGGUUUUCGCCGGCUUUCACGCGUUGUGUG
RNAcentral lists this unclassified non-coding RNA (481 nucleotides) under Bifidobacterium stellenboschense. RNAcentral describes it as "partial 16S-23S ribosomal RNA". The record is from RNAcentral. Lineage: Bacteria; Bacillati; Actinomycetota; Actinomycetes; Bifidobacteriales; Bifidobacteriaceae.